UCCCCUUUCCUACUAUCGAUGAAUUGCUCGAUGAAUUAGGCUCACCUACAGUUUUCACUAAGAUUGAUUUAUACUCAAGGUAUCAUCAAAUUCGACUCACCCCUGAUGACACUCACAAAUCAACAUUUAGAACCAUUGAUGGACAUUAUGAAUUUUUAGUCAUGCCUUUUGGCUUGACUAAUGGACCCUCCACUUUUCAGGCAGCCAUGAAUUGAUGGAAAAUGUGCCUUCAUGACUGAAUUCUUUUCUUGGAUUUUGGAAAGGAUUGGCGAAAGCUUCAAUGGAAGAGAUGAACAAGGAUGGCUCAUAUAGAUCUAUGGUUUCCUUGAAGGUGCAUGAUAGGGACAACGAUUGGUUGGGCCAUAUCACUUGAGCUAGGUGAAGAAGAAGAUUAAGCUGUUUAUCCUAAAGAGGUAAAAUAAGGGAGUGAGAAAGGCUAGUAACUUUGGCAGCAAUUUCACUCAUUCAUUAAUCUUCGAAAAUGAGAGCCAAGCACCUCAAUUUAUAGGAGAGAGGGUUGAAAAUUUUGGAGCAAAAAUUUGAAAAUUCAAAAUAAAACUCUUCAAUGAGAAGGUGCCAUGUGGAGUCAUGCUUUCCAUGUUGACCUCACACCUUCCAUGCUAAAUCCUCUCCAGUCCUAGGCUUCCAUCUGGACAUCCAUGUGCUCCAUGCCAAUGUAAUUUUUAUCCUCCAAUAUACCCUAGAUGUUUUAGGGUUACAUUGGGCUCAAAGAAGCCCAAUUGUUACCCUAACUAGUCACUUUUAACCCUAACUAUACCUAUUUUACUAUUGGUCCAAAUACAAGCCCAAAAACCUAUGCUACUUGGCCCAAAUAUUUGGUCCAAUUAUUUUAUGCUACUAGGCCCAAUACAUGGCGCAUGAAAUCCUAAACAACUUUAUAAAAUUUAUUUAAGUUAAAGUUUGACCCAAAAAUAAUGUUGUCUAGUCAGCAGAAACUCAGUCUUCUUAUGUUCUUCUGACCAAAGCUCUAGUUUAUGUUUUCAUGAGUUGGAGGUCUUCUUGGAUAUGUUUCUACAUUCCUUCACCCUAGAGUUGUCCUCUUGAUUGGGCCUACAAAAAUAAACAAAAGCCCAAUUAGACCCAUAUUUGCAAUUAAAUCAAUAAACAAUUACUAGGUAUCCUUAUUAUGUGGUUAUGUGUGGCUGGGGGCUAUGCCAUCAUGAAAGACCUUCUUAGACCCUAUUUACGACGAUUUUUCCUAGUUUUUUUUUUAUAUUUUGAUUUAUAGUCCCAGUUUGAAGGAUCAUAUUGUGCACUUACAGAUUAUCUUAAAAGUUUUACACACUAAGAAUUUUUUUGCUGUUAUCUAAGUACAAUUUUGCCACUUCUCAAGUAAGUUAUUUGGGUCAUAUCAUUUCGGCUAAAGGAGUAACCCCUGAUCCAAAAAAAUUUACUGCCAUACACAAUUGGCAAUAGCCAUGUCACUCAUGAAAUUGCGUGGUUUCCUUGGUCUCACAUGAUUUUAUAGAAAGUUUGUCUAUCACUAUGUCACUCUCGCUGCUCCUCUCUCCGACUUAUUACAUAACCAAAAAUUUACUUGGAAUGUCUCGGCUUAGGAGGCCUAUACAAAAUUAAAAUUACAAAUAUCUAAAGUUCUUACACUACACCUACCAUACUUCACCCUGCCAUUUUUUGUGGAGACAAACGUGUCUGCAGUAGCCGUGGGGGUCGUGCUCAGCCAAAAGGGGCACCCGUUAUCCUUCUUCAGCAAGAAGAUGUGUCCAAGGCUCCAAGCAUCAUCAGUGUAUGUCCAAGAGAUGUAUGCAAUCACAGAAGCAAUUAAGAAAUGGCGUCAGUGCUUGUUAGGCUAACACUUCAAAAUAAUCACAGACCAAAAAAGUUUAAAUACACUUCAGUCUCAAACAAUCCAAACUCCAAAACAACAAAAAUGGACAUCAAAGUUACAAGGAUAUGAUUUCCAAAUACUAUACCAACUAUUAAACAAAAUGUGGUUGUAGAUGCUCUCUCACACCAAGACACAGGUACACCUUCAAUAUUGUUUGCAUUAUCAUAGUCAAUUCCAUUGUUGUUUGAAGAGUUACACAAAUUUUAUUCCACCAUAAAAGGCACAAAUUACUCGACGCUUGCACUAAAGAACAACAAAAACCAGUGUCUUCUCGAUCUGUCAUAGUCUACUUUUCUUUUGUCAGCAAGUGUUUCUUCCCGCCACCAAGAAUUUCAAAAACCGCAUCCUCUAAGAAUUGCAUGAAUAUCCCACAGCUGGUCAUUUCAGCAUUAAACCCACUCUUGAUCGCAUUGCCGUUGCAUUCUACUGGCCAGAGUGGACUAGAGAUGUCAAGAACUACGUUCAACAAUGUCCCACGUGUCAACGUAAUGAGUAUCUGCCAACAAAACCCCAAGGAUUACUGAUGGAGAUCAAAAUGUCAAAGAAUCAUCUAUAUCUUGCUAUUGGAAUCAUAUCAAUUACUCCAACCAUUCACAUUACCAUAUCAAGUGUGGGAAGAUUUAUUAAUGGAUUUUAGAACGCACUUACCAACCUCAGCAGGUCACUCUGUCAUAUGGGUUAUCUAUGACUGCCUCACGAAGUAUGCUCACUUUGUGGCCCUACCCACACAGUUCAAUACCCAACAAGUUGCCUAGCAAUUCUCAGUAGAGAUUUGUCGUCUUCAUGGGCUUCCAAAAACCAUUGUCUUAGAUCGAGAUCCCUUAUUUUGUCUGCACAUUCUAGAAACACCUAUUCAAAGCACAAGGCACACAUUAAAAUUUAUUUCCUCUUACCAUCCGCAAACAGAAGUCCUUAAUUAGAGUUUGGAAGCCUACCUGCGAUGCUUUGCUGGAGAUCACCCUCACACUUGGUUCUAAUAUCUCCAUCUAGCGGAGCUUUGGCACAGUACGACACAUCAUUCCACCAUUGGCACCUCACCGUUCCAUGCUUUAUACGGAAGACAACCUCCCACCACCUUAGAUUUGUUACACAUUCCACGCUCAGGAACCACCAUUGCAGAAUUGUUGCACCAACACCCGCUGGUUCUCCACACCUUCAAACAAACCCUUCGCUGAACACGUCAACGAAUGUGCGACCAGGCUAACUGCCACUGAUUCGAACGUUCUUUUAACCUAGAUGAUUGGGUAUAGGUACGUCUUCAACCUUACCGCCAUCAGUCGGUGGAGUGCCGUCCAUGUUCAAAACUCGACCCUUGAUACUCGAGUCCUUAUCAAGUGCUUCGCCGGAUCGGUGUUGUUGCCUACAAGCUUCAUUUGCCAGCCACCUCAUGAGUACACCCAGUCUUCCAUGUCUCCCUCAUCCAUGCUUUCAAAGGACCACAUGUGGCCACUGAACUUAACUCACCCUCUCACGUGGAUUCUAAGUCUCAAAAACUUUCGAAUCCGCAAUUAAUUCACUCACCUAACUCUCAAAGAUUUUCAAAUGCCCAACCAAUUCACGCACCUAAUUCUAAAGAACUUUCAAAACCAC
This 3457-nucleotide long non-coding RNA is filed under the name Phaseolus vulgaris (common bean). RNAcentral describes it as "long non-coding RNA (PVUL_LNC002168)". Lineage: Eukaryota; Viridiplantae; Streptophyta; Magnoliopsida; Fabales; Fabaceae. The record is from RNAcentral.